GAGGAAAGAGGGAGGCGUGCCUAAUACAUGCAAGUCGAGCGAACGGACGAGAAGCUUGCUUCUCUGAUGUUAGCGGCGGACGGGUGAGUAACACGUGGAUAACCUACCUAUAAGACUGGGAUAACUUCGGGAAACCGGAGCUAAUACCGGAUAAUAUUUUGAACCGCAUGGUUCAAAAGUGAAAGACGGUCUUGCUGUCACUUAUAGAUGGAUCCGCGCUGCAUUAGCUAGUUGGUAAGGUAACGGCUUACCAAGGCAACGAUGCAUAGCCGACCUGAGAGGGUGAUCGGCCACACUGGAACUGAGACACGGUCCAGACUCCUACGGGAGGCAGCAGUAGGGAAUCUUCCGCAAAGGGCGAAAGCCUGACGGAGCAACGCCGCGUGAGUGAUGAAGGUCUUCGGAUCGUAAAACUCUGUUAUUAGGGAAGAACAUAUGUGUAAGUAACUGUGCACAUCUUGACGGUACCUAAUCAGAAAGCCACGGCUAACUACGUG
This 497-nucleotide ribosomal RNA is filed under the name uncultured bacterium. Its description in RNAcentral is "partial 16S ribosomal RNA". It matches the Rfam family "Bacterial small subunit ribosomal RNA", at positions 28 to 507 of the family's 1533-position model. The record is from RNAcentral.